RNAcentral lists this ribosomal RNA (252 nucleotides) under uncultured bacterium. Its description in RNAcentral is "partial 16S ribosomal RNA". It matches the Rfam family "Bacterial small subunit ribosomal RNA", at positions 524 to 776 of the family's 1533-position model. The record is from RNAcentral.
UACGUAGGGGGCAAGCGUUAUCCGGAAUUAUUGGGCGUAAAGAGUACGUAGGUGGCAACCUAAGCGCAGGGUUUAAGGCAAUGGCUCAACCAUUGUUCGCCCUGCGAACUGGGAUGCUUGAGUGCAGGAGAAGAAAGCGGAAUUCCUAGUGUAGCGGUGAAAUGCGUAGAUAUUAGGAGGAACACCAGUGGCGAAGGCGGCUUUCUGGACUGUAACUGACACUGAGGUACGAAAGCGUGGGGAGCAAACAGG